Molecule: long non-coding RNA, 7000 nt
Organism: Gorilla gorilla gorilla (western lowland gorilla)
Lineage: Eukaryota; Metazoa; Chordata; Mammalia; Primates; Hominidae
Exons: 4
Source: RefSeq, a predicted model, not a curated record
GCACUGAUUGGUGCAUUUACAAACCUUGAGCUAGACACAGGGUGCUGAUUGGUGUGUUUACAAUCCCUUAGCUAGACAUAAAGGUUCUCCAAGUCCCCACUAGACUCAGGAGUCCAGCUGACUUCACCCAGUGGGUGCUGCACCUGGACCGCAGGUGGAGCUGCCUGCCAGUCUCGCCUAGUGUGCCCGCACUCCUCAGCCCUUGGGCGGUGGAUGGGACUGGGCGCGGUGGAGCAGGGGGCGGCGCUCGUUGGCGAGGCUCCCGCCGCGCAGGAGCCAACGUAGGGGAAGGCGCAGGCAUAAAGGGCUGCAGGUACCGAGCCCUGCCCUGCGGAGAGGCAGAGAUUGUUUUGCCAGAUUUUUAGAAAAGAGAGAUGAACACCUUUUAAACUCUGAAGAAAGAAAUGGGCUCAUUGGUAUGGAGCAGAAUGGAAUACUGGGGUAAUGAAGAUUGUAUGGUGUUGGCAUCAGUGGACCAAUGGAUCAAUGGAACAAAAUGAAGAGUUCAGAAAUAAAUCUACACAUCUACAGUCAACUGAUUUUCAAAAAAUAGCUGCCAAGAUGGUGUCAGAAAUGGUAUCCGAAUUAGAGCUUCCAGUGACCCCCAGGAGCAUCAAGUGACCAAGUGAGGUACCUGCAGGGCUCAUUGUGUCCAUUGCUCUUUCACAGCAACUGGGGAUGAUGAUAAGUUCUCUCUCAGAUUCAAAGCUCCACAUAUUUGUGUUUUGAGCUUUCUGAGUUUGUUUGAGCAAAUUUCUGAUCGAAACUAGGUUUGGAAGUCACAAAAAAACUGAAUUGGGUCCAGAAUCUGAUAAUUAACUGGCUUGGAUCUAGUUACAGGCCUCUUAUGUCUGAAUGGUUCAGACAGAAACCAGUAGAAAAUGGCAAUAUUUCAGGGGAUGCAAACUUUGGUUUUGGAAAUUUAUAGGGAUUUUUGUGUUCUACCUCCUUUGUUUUUCUUGUGUGCUGAGGUAGGAAAAAAUUACUGGCUAAGUUGAUUAAGAGGAUCUGAGAAUUAAAGCUAAGAUUCAAGAUAAAAAUGGGAUCCUUAUUUUCUUAAGAACUGAGUAAUGUAGCUUCUGACUAUGCCCACACUUACAUGUGUAAGUAUUAGGUUCUGGAAACAGCAAACACUUUUAGAAAUAGCAAAAUCUUACUAAAGGUAAUUUAAAAUUACAAUGCAACAUUCCAAAGAAACAACACUGCACUUGAAGAAGUGCAGUUGAAAAUGAGGGCUCACAACCCUAUGCACACAAAUUAGAAAAUCUAGAGGAAGUGGGUAAAUUCCUGGAAGGACACAAUCUUCCAAGACUGAAUCAGGAAGAGAUUGAAAACCUGAAUAGACCACUAUCGACUUCUGAAAUUGAAUCAGUAAUUAAGAACCUGCUAACCAAAAAAAGCCCUGGCUCAGAUGGAUUCACAGCUGAAUUCUACCAGACAUACAAAGAACUGAUACCAAUCCUACUGAAAUUAUUCAAAAAAUCAAAGAGGAGGGGUUCCUUUCUAAAUAUUCUAUGAAGCCAGCAUCAGCCUGGUACCCAAAUCUGGCAGAGACACAAUUAAAAAAGGAAACUUUAGACCCAUAUCUCUCAUGAAUAUAGACAUGAAAAUCCUCAACAAAAUACUAGAAAAUCAAAUCCAGCAGCAUAUUGAAAAGUUAGUAAAACAUGAUCAAGUAAGCUUUAUUCCUGGAAUGCAAGGCUGGUUCAACAUAUGCAAAUGAAUAAAUGUGAUUCACUACAUAAGCAGAAUCAAAAGCAAAAAUGAAAUUAUCUUCUCAAUAGAUGCAGAAAAAGCUUUUGAUGAAAUCCAACAUCCCUUCAUGUUAAAAACCCUCAACAGACUAGGCAAUGAAGGAACAUACUUCAAAAUAAUAAGAGCCAUCUAUGACAAACCCACAGCCAACAUCAUACUAAGUGGACAAUAGCUUGAAGCAUUUCCUUUGAGAACUGGAACAGAACCAAGAUGCACACUCUUACCACUCAUGUUCAACACAGUACUGGAAGUCAUAGCUGGAACAAUCAGGCAAGAGAAAGAAAUAAAAGGCAUCCAAAUAGGAAAGGAAGUCAAACUCUCCGUUUGCUGAUGACAUAAUUCUAUACCUAGAAAAUCCUAAAGACUUUGCCAAUAGUCUCCUAGAAUAGGUAAACACCUUUAGUAAAGUUUCAGGUUACAAAAUCAUUGUAUAAAAAUCAGUAGCAUUUUCUAUAUGCCAACAAAGUCCGGGCUGAGAGUGAAAUCAAGAACAUAAUCCCAUUUACAAUAGCCAAAAGAAAAUGAAAUAUCUAGGAAUACAGGUAGCCAAGGAGGCAAAAGAUCUCUACAAAGAGAACUACAAAACAUUGCAGAAGGAGAUCAGAGAUGACAUAAAUGGGGAAACAUUCCAUGCCAAUGAAUUGGAAGAAUCAGUUUCGUAAAAAUGGCCAUACUGUCCAAAGCAAUUUAAAGAUUCAACACUAUUCCUAUCAAACUACCAAAGCCGUUUUUCACAGAACAAAUGAUUCUAAAAUAAAUAUGGAACUGAAAAAGAGCCCCAAUAGCCAAAGCUAUCCUAAGCAAAAGAAUGAAGCCAGAGGUAUCACAUUACCCAACUUCAAGGCUACACUAUAUAAGGCUACACUACUCCUCCUCCUCCUACUACACUACUACUAUAAGGCUACAGUAACCAAAACAACUUAGUACUGGUACAGAAACAGACAAAGACAAAUGGAAGAGAAUAGAAAACUCAGAAAUAAAGAUGCACACCUACCACAAUCUGAUCUUCAACAAGGCUGACAAAAACAAGCCAUGGGGAAAGCACUUCCCAUUCAAUAAAUGUUGCUGAGAUAACUAGUUAGCCGUAUGCAGAAGAAUGAAACCAGACCCCUACCUUUCACCAUAUACAAAAAUUAACUCAAAAUGGAUUAAAGAUUUCAAUGAAGGUCCUCAAACUGUAAAGAUCCUGGAAGACAACCUAGGAAAUACUUAUCUCAAAGUCAGCCUUGGUAAAGAAUUUUUGGCUAAGUAUGAAAAGCCAUUGCAACAACAACAACAAAAAGACAAAAAGGAUCUAAUUAAACUAAAAAGCUUCUGCACAUCAAAAGAAACUAUGAACAAAGCAAACAGACAACCUGCAGAAUGAGAGACGAUAUCUGCAAACUGUGCAUCCAACAAUGGCCUAGUAUCCAGAAUCUAUAGGGAGCUUGAACAAAUCAACAGGCAAAACACCAAAUAACUUCAUUAAAAAAUGGGCAAAGGACAUGAAUACAUACUUCUCAAAAGACGACGUACAAGUCACCAACAAACAUGAAAAAAUGCUCAGCAUCACUAAUCAUCAGAGAAAUGCAAAUCAAACUGACAGUGAGAUAAAAUCUCACACCAGUCAGAAUGGCUGUUACUAAAAAUCCAAAAAACAACAGAUGCUGGUGAAGAUGUGGAGAAAAGUGGACGCUUAUACAUUGUUAGUGGGAAUUUAAAUUAGUUUAGCCACUGUGGAAAGCAAUCUGGAGAUUUCUCAAAGAACCUAAAACAGGGCUACCAUUCAUCUCAGCCAUACCAUUACCAGGUUUACACCCAAAAGAAAAUAAAUCAUUCUACCAAAAAGACACAUGCACUUUUCUGUUCAUUGUUGCACUAUUCACAGUAGCAAAGACAUGGGAUCAACCUAGCUGCCCAUCAGUGGUGGAUUGAAUAAAGAAAAUGCGGUAUAUACACACCACGGAAUAGUACACAGUUAUAAAAAAAUGAAAUCAUGGCCUUUGCAGCAACAUGGAUGGAGCUGGAGGCCAUAAUCCUCAGCAAAUUAAUGCAGAAACAGAAAAUUCAAAACUGCAUGUUCUUCCUUCUAAUUGGGAGCUAAGCAUUGAGAACACAUGGACAUAAAUAUUAGAAGGAUAGACACUGUGGACUACUUGAGCUUGGGAGUGGGUGGGUUGAAAAACUACCUAUUGAGUACUAUACUAUGCUUACUACCAGGGUGAGGGAACCUGUACUCCAAACUUCAGCAUCAUACAAUAUUCCUAUGUAACAAAUCUGUACAUGUACCCUGUAUUUAAAAUAAAAGUUGAAAUUAAAAAAAAAGAAAAGAGAAUGAAGCUUUCCAAAUUACUCUCAUCUAUGGAUGCCUACUGAUAUGCAGAAGCUUCUAAAGUAUUUCAGUAUUUUAAAUUAAAGACUCCUUAUAAAAGGCAAAUAAAAAUCUUAAAUAACUAAUAAGAAAAAUUAAAUCCGCUUAUUUUUUUGCUUAGUUACUAUACUGCCCCAAAGACAAAAAAGAAAGCUAUCCUGGAUAAAAAGUUUAUAUAAGGUAGGCCCUACAGCUGGGUAGAAAACCAAGUAGGCUUUCACGGUACCUGAUUUCAGGACUUGGUUUUUAGAUGGCAUUUCUGGACUUGCCUUAGGACAGAAGGGACCUCACUGCUCUAAAGGGUGAGUCCCAGGCCAGGCAGCAUUCACCACAAGCGGACUGAAGAGCCCUUGAGCCUUAAGGGAACAUGAUGGUAGUCUGGCAGUACUCCCUGUGGGCCUGAGGUGGCCGUGGCCGUGGGGUGAGGCUCACUGCAUUUGGAAAGGGGAGGGAAGCAUGGGAAGCACUGCAUCUUGUGGUUUGAGUGCCAGCUUAGCCACAGUACAAUAGAACACCAGGUAGAUUUCUAUGAUUUUUGACUCUAGUUUCUGGCUCCUGAAUGGCACCUCUGGACCCUCCUGGAGCUUGGGCUUGGAGAAACUCAUCACCCUCAAGGGAAGAACAUAGGCCUGGCUGGCUCUGUCACCAGCUAAUUGCAGAUCCUCAGGGCCUUGAAUGAACAUAGCCGGUAGCCAAAGAGUGGUUACAGCAGGGCUUGGGCAAGACCCAGUGCUCUGCUGGUUUCAGGUCUGACCCAGCACAGUUCUAGGGGUGAUGGCUACAGGGGUGCUUGUGUCAUUCCACCUCUAGCUCCAGGUGGCCCAGCACAGAGAGAGACUGGGACAAAGUAAAGGAAGAGAACCAGAGUCUCCAGUAAUCCAGAUAAUUCUUCUGGAUCUUGUCCAAGACUAUCAAGGCAGUACCUCUAUGAGUCUGCAAGAAUCAUAGUGGUACUGGUCUUGGGGUCCUCUCUAAAGCAGAUAUAGCUUAGAUCAUAACACCCAAGUCCUUUUGAAUAUCUGGAAAGGCUUCCCAGGAAGAAUGGGUAUAAAGAGCCCAGACUGCAAAGACUACAAUAAAUACCUAACUCUUCAAUGGCCAGACACAAAUGAACACCUACAAGUAUCCAGACAAUCCAGGAAAACAUGACUUCAGUGAAUAAACUAAAUAAGGCACCAGAAACCAAGCCUGGAGAAACAGGGAUAUGUGACCUUUCAGACAGAGAACUCAAAAUAGCUGUUUGAGGAAACCCAAAGAAAUUCAAGACAACACAGAGAAGAAAUUCAGGAUUCUAUUAGAUGAAUUUGACAAAGAGAUUAAAAUAAUUAAAAAGGAUCAGGCAGAAAUUCUGGAGUUGAAAAAUGCAGCUGGCAUGCUGAAGAAAUCAUCAGACUCAUUCAAUAGCAGAGUUGAUCAAGCAGAAAAAAGAAUCAGCGAGCUUGAAAACAGGCUAUUUGAAAAUACAGUCAGAGGAGACAAAAGCAAAAAGAAUAAAAAACCAUGAAGCAUGCCUACAGGAUCUAGAAAAUAGCCUCAAAAGGGCAAAUCUAAGAGUUAUUGGCUUUAAAGAGUAUGUAGAGAAAGAGAUGCGUAGAAACUUUAUUCAAAGGGAUAAUAACAGAGAGCUUCCUAAACCUAGAGAAAGAUAUCAGUAUCCAAGUACAAGAAGGUUACAGAACACCAAGCAGAUUUCAUGCAAAGAAGACUAACUCAAGGCAUCUGGUAAUUCAACUCGCAAAGGUCAAGGAUAAAAAAAGGUUCCAAAAAGCAGCAAGAGAAAAGAAACAAAUAAUGGAGCUCCAACACAUCUAGUGGCAGCCUUUUCAGUGGAAACCUUACAGGCCAAGAGAGAGUGGAAUGAAAUAUUUAAAGUGCUGAAGGGAAGAGAACUUUUAUGCUAGAAUAGUAUAUCUGGUGAAAAUAUCCUUCAAGAAUGAAGAAAAAGUAAAGACUUUCCUAGACAAAAAAAAGUUGAGGGAUUUUAUCAAUAUCAGAUUUUUUUACAAGAAAUGCUAAAGGGAGUACUUUAAUAAGAAAGAAAAGGACAUUAAUGAGCAAUAAAUAAUCACUUGAAGGUGCAAAAUUCACUAGUAAUAGUAAGUCUGCAGAAGAACAGAAUAUUAUAGCACUGUAAAUGUGGUGUGUAAACUACUGUUAUUUAAGGAGAAAGACUAAAUGACUUACCAAUCAAACAUAGUAACUACAACAACUUUUCAAGACAUAUUACAAUAAGAUUUAAAUAGUAACAAAAACUUAAAGCAGGGGCACAAAGUUAAUGCAUGAAGUCUUUGUAAAUUUUCUUUUUGUUAGUUUGUUUAUGCAAACAAUGUUAUUAUCAGCUUAAAAUAAUGGGUUAUAACGUAGUAUUUGCAAGCUUCAUGAUACCCUCAAAUCAAAAAACAUACAAUGGAGACACAAAAAAUAAAAAGCAACUAACUAAAUCAUAUCACCAAUGAAAGUUACCUUCACAGAAAGAAAGGCAUGAAGGAAAGAAAGAAGGGAGAGAAGACCAUAAAACAGCCAGAAAACAAAUCACAAAAUGGCAGGGGUAAGUCCUUACUUAUCUAUAAAUUGAAUGUAAAUGGACACAGUUCUUCAAAGGACACAGAGUAGCUGAAGGGAUAAAAAAAAACAAUGAGGCCAGGUGCGGUGGCUCACGCCUGUAAUCCCAGCACUUUGGGAGGCUGAGGCGGGCAUAUCACUUGGUCAAGAGGUCAAGACCAUCCUGGCCAACAUGGUAAAACCCUGUCUCUACUAAAAAUACAAAAAUUAGCUGGGCGUGGUGGUGCGUGUCUGUAGUCUCAGCUACUCAGGAGGCUGAGGCAGGAGAAUUGCUUGAAUCCAGGAGGCGGAGGUUGCAGCAAGCCAAGAUCGUGCCACUGUACUCCAGCCUGG